UGGGGAAUUUUGGACAAUGGGCGAAAGCCUGAUCCAGCAAUGCCGCGUGUGUGAAGAAGGCCUUCGGGUUGUAAAGCACUUUUGUCCGGAAAGAAAUCCUCUGGGUUAAUACCUCGGGGGGAUGACGGUACCGGAAGAAUAAGCACCGGCUAACUACGUGCCAGCAGCCGCGGUAAUACGUAGGGUGCAAGCGUUAAUCGGAAUUACUGGGCGUAAAGCGUGCGCAGGCGGUUUUGUAAGACGGAUGUGAAAUCCCCGGGCUUAACCUGGGAACUGCAUUCGUGACUGCAAGGCUAGAGUAUGGCAGAGGGGGGUAGAAUUCCACGUGUAGCAGUGAAAUGCGUAGAGAUGUGGAGGAAUACCGAUGGCGAAGGCAGCCCCCUGGGCCAAAUACUGACGCUCAUGCACGAAAAGCGUGGGGAGCAAACAGGAUUAGAUACCCCUGGUAGUCCACGCCCUAAAACGAUGUCAACUAGUUGUUGGGGAUUCAUUUCCUUAGUAACGUAGCUAACGCGUGAAGUUGACCGCCUGGGGAGUACGGUCGCAAGAUUAAAACUUAAAGGAAUUGACGGGGUCAUAGCUGUUUCCU
RNAcentral lists this ribosomal RNA (589 nucleotides) under uncultured bacterium. RNAcentral's name for it is "partial 16S ribosomal RNA". It matches the Rfam family "Bacterial small subunit ribosomal RNA", at positions 355 to 1375 of the family's 1533-position model. The record is from RNAcentral.